RNAcentral lists this ribosomal RNA (253 nucleotides) under uncultured bacterium. RNAcentral's name for it is "partial 16S ribosomal RNA". It matches the Rfam family "Bacterial small subunit ribosomal RNA", at positions 524 to 776 of the family's 1533-position model. The record is from RNAcentral.
GACGAACCGAGCGAACGUUGUUCGGAAUCACUGGGCUUAAAGGGCGCGUAGGCGGGCGGUCACGUCCGGGGUGAAAUCCCACGGCUCAACCGUGGAACGGCCUCGGAUACGGGCGGCCUCGAGGGGGGUAGGGGCAUGCGGAACUGUGAGUGGAGCGGUGAAAUGCGUUGAUAUUCACAGGAACUCCGGUGGCGAAGGCGGCGUGCUGGACCCCACCUGACGCUGAGGCGCGAAAGCCAGGGGAGCAAACGGG